Molecule: ribosomal RNA, 503 nt
Filed under: uncultured bacterium
Lineage: Bacteria
Description: partial 16S ribosomal RNA
Rfam family: Bacterial small subunit ribosomal RNA
Source: RNAcentral
AUUGAACGCUGGCGGCAGGCUUAACACAUGCAAGUCGAGCGGGGUGAUGGUGCUUGCACUAUCACUUAGCGGCGGACGGGUGAGUAAUGCUUAGGAAUCUGCCUAUUAGUGGGGGACAACAUCUCGAAAGGGAUGCUAAUACCGCAUACGUCCUACGGGAGAAAGCAGGGGAUCACUUGUGACCUUGCGCUAAUAGAUGAGCCUAAGUCGGAUUAGCUAGUUGGUGGGGUAAAGGCCUACCAAGGCGACGAUCUGUAGCGGGUCUGAGAGGAUGGUCCGCCAAACUGGGACUGAGACACGGCCCAGACUCCUACGGGGGGCAGCAGUGGGGAAUAUUGGACAAUGGGGGGAACCCUGAUCCAGCCAUGCCGCGUGUGUGAAGAAGGCCUUAUGGUUGUAAAGCACUUUAAGCGAGGAGGAGGCUCUUUUGGUUAAUACCCAAGAUGAGUGGACGUUACUCGCAGAAUAAGCACCGGCUAACUCUGUGCCAGCAGCCGCCGUAA